Molecule: long non-coding RNA, 3163 nt
Filed under: Lactuca sativa (garden lettuce)
Lineage: Eukaryota; Viridiplantae; Streptophyta; Magnoliopsida; Asterales; Asteraceae
Description: long non-coding RNA (LSAT_LNC008884)
Source: RNAcentral
UCGAACCACCGCCUCAAGUACCUCGAUAAUCGAUAUUCUCUCAAAUCCCUUUUCAUCUUUCUUUAGAGCUCGAUCGAUCGACAUGGCCUCGAUGGAAAAAAUGAGAACGUGCCCACCGGAAAAGGUAGCGGUCGUAGGAAAGGACUGCUGAAGAUACAAACACAGAAGAGACAUAACACGAUUUGUCUCGCUUUUCAAUCUCUCAUUUGCUGCGUAAUCUGCUUUAACCAAAGAGACGCUCCAUCGUCAAUGACGGCGUGUUGAUUCCUCAGUGUAUCCGACUCUCCAUUGUUCUCUCUCACCGUUACCGUCGACUUUACCUCAAGUGUUUUCGAGUUGUUGAGUUAGGCUUCCACAAAUACGCUCUGCGUUGUCUCUUUGCUCCUACUAACACUUUGAACUAAGGUAUUGUUACAGUUCUAUUUUCUCCUCUGUCCAUAGGGUCGUAUUCUCCAAUUUGCAAUGAACACGAAGGCACAAUCCGAUUUGGGUAUAACCACAGCCUAUAUGAACCCUAAUUUUUUAUUUUCGUUAUCUUACCCCUACUUGCUUCUAUGUUCUUGAUUUUGGAGUCGACCAAGACCGACCCUACCAGAAGAGUCGGUAUUGGAUUUGAUUUUGGGUGUUGAAGGCUUAAUUUGGGGUUUUUCAACACAUGUCUUAAACAUAAGCAGAUGGAAACCUGUCUUUGGACAAAAGAGGUAAACUUUGAACAUUUGUUUGAUUAAUCUUAUAGUUUUUAUGAUUUAUACAAUUUCAUUAUGUUCUAUGUUCUCAGCUCCAUUGGCAAAUCACCCCGGUUAGUUCAUUUGGAUGAUAAUUAAAAAAAAUAUGUUUUCAUAUGCUUUUAUUUGAGCUGAUAACAUAGUUAAGUAAAUAUCAUGACUAAUAACGAAAUUCGAUUUUGUUCACAUCUUCCACCGUAUUGUAAUCUGAAAAAUAGCUUCUUUUUAUUAUGCAUUAAUUGGAUUUCUUGUACCAAAACACCCUUAUCUUUUGGAUUGGACUAGAUGUAACGCCCGGGUUUUCAGGGCUAAGCAUUUUUGUCAAUGUAAUAGUCUAGGUCAACUAUUGUAACUCUUUUUGAAGUAAUAAAUAUAAAAUAUUUGAGUAUUAUGUGUGUUUAUGUGUUUAUUAUUUAAUUAUAAAUGUAUAAUUAAUAAAGAAUAAAAAUGAGCGUCAAAAUUAAAGUGUGAGAUAAUCCUGAUAUCUCUACAUAAAGUUGUAGAAUACGUCUCAAGGUUUCCGUACAUAUAAAGAAUGCCGAAAUCCGAGCUAUAACGAAGAAGUUAUGGCCCGCCGAAGUUUUACGGCAAAACCGGCACGACACCGGGAGACGUAAAUAGUGAAUUUACGAUAGAAGACUUUUUAGCCUUAUCAAUCUAAACAAAAGUCGUAGAAUAUGUUAAACUAAGAACAUCGAUAAAAAGAACGCCCAAAUCUGACUUCGUAUGAAGAAGUUAUGAUUUUUCUAAGAUUCGGCUUAGCAGUGCACGGCCUGAAACUCGAAUUUUAGUUCGAGCGGUUUUUGGCUUACGCAACGUAAAUGAGAGUUGAAGAUCUCAUUAAUAGGAAAUCAACGGUAAAAAGACAGACAAAAACAGAGUCCGUAUGUAGAAGUUAUUAAUUUUACGCAGACGUUUAACAGUAUAAUCUCCUUGUACUGUUAAAUUUAAGAUCGAUCGAGAAUUGGCUGACGGUGUCAAAAUGAAAGUUGUAGAUCUUAUUAUUACCUACGCGUGGAUAUAAAGAACGUCAAAAACGGAGGUCGUAUGUGAAAGUUACGGAUUUUAGAAGUCGGAAGUGUGCUGUGCGAAAAUGGGUGAUGUGGCACAAUCUUGGCCAUUGCUUUCUCCCCAAGGCUUGCCACCAGAUGGUGACAUGUGGCACCAAGUUCAGCCACAUUUCACCCUAUAAAUACCACCUCUCCCACCCUCAUUUUCUUCACACCUUUCCCAUUCUUUCUUCUCUUUACUCUCUCUCUCUCUCUAGAACCUCUCUCUAGCCCCGAAAUCCCCCGAAAAGCCUAGGGAACCUCCCUAGCACGAGGCGGAAGCCCCGGAGUGCUCGAAGGCUCCGAGAAGAAGAGCUUUUCGGCUCGGGAACGCUGCUCCAAGCAAAGCCCGGUUUUCUAUAAAACCCGCUGUAAGUGAGCUACGCCUACGCUAUUUUUAAUAUAGCUUUUAUUUAAUUAUAGUAACGUUAUUAGGAACUUAUAAUAAAUACUUGGGCUAUUAUUAUGGGUUAUAUAAGUAUUUUUUUGACGCUUAUAUAAUAAUAAUAAUAAUAGCUAGACUAUUAAUUAGUCUCGACGAAUAAUAAACUAAACUCUAGUGGUAAUAAUACUAGGUUUCGUCGAAGAAAAUUCUUUUUAAGAAGCGAAGCGCUGUCUGAGUUCGGAAUCACCACCUUUUCAGGUGAGUGCAUAUUUACUUUCAACUUACACAUAGAUAUGAAGUAUUUAAUAUAAAUUACGUGCUAUUUGUGCAUAUUAUCUGAAUACUUGCUAUCUAUGCUGGAUGAACGUUUUAUACAUGUUUUCAAAGAUUUAAACUGUAUAUGUAUUUUAUAUCUACAAAAUGUGUUGGGUAAAACAUGGGUAGAUGUAAUAGUUGCUGUGUGACAAAAUAAAAUAAUGAGAGGCCUCGUUAUAGAUGUUAUUGAUGAUCCAGUCAUCUAGCGGAGUAUAGAUGACGACCACGGACUAUUCUAGACAGUCCAGUGGAACACUAGCAGGCUCGCAACCUGUAGGUGUUUAUUUGAACUGUGUGUUUAUUUGAACUGUGUGCUCACCAGAUGUACUCCAUCCCCCACAUGGUUGCCUAUUAGGACAUUUAUUGCUGAGGAAUCCCCUUAGUAGUAGUGUCCGUCCCGAUGAUGAUCCUUAGGCUAGGUCCCUUAUGAUAGGUGUUUAGGGACGUAAAGUGAGGAUAACGGGAACGGGUAAUCGGGUUAUUGUUGAUUGAUGAAAUUAAUAAACUAUUUAUUGUGGGUUGAAAACCCUAUGUGCUCACCAGGCUCCCAAGCCUGACCCACUCAGUUUUAUGUAUUACAGGUAGUGGCGCUUGAGCAUAUAUAUGAUGUUUGGACGAGGGAUUACGGAUAUAGGCCUGUAGAUAUGAAAUAAUGUAGUAAGGCUUGUAUUGUACUGUUUAUGCUUUUG